Molecule: transfer RNA, 85 nt
Filed under: Oceanidesulfovibrio marinus
Lineage: Bacteria; Pseudomonadati; Thermodesulfobacteriota; Desulfovibrionia; Desulfovibrionales; Desulfovibrionaceae
Description: tRNA-Leu
Rfam family: tRNA
About the family: Transfer RNA (tRNA) molecules are approximately 80 nucleotides in length. Their secondary structure includes four short double-helical elements and three loops (D, anti-codon, and T loops).
Source: RNAcentral
GCGAGAGUGGCGGAAUUGGUAGACGCACUGGAUUUAGGUUCCAGCGGCUUAGUCCGUGGGAGUUCGAGUCUCCCCUCUCGCACCA